GACGAACGCUGGCGGCGUGCUUAACACAUGCAAGUCGAACGGAAAGGCCCUGCUUUUGUGGGGUGCUCGAGUGGCUAACGGGUGAGUAACACGUGAGUAACCUGCCCUUGACUUUGGGAUAACUUCAGGAAACUGGGGCUAAUACCGGAUAGGAGCUCCUGCUGCAUGGUGGGGUUUGGAAAGUUUCGGCGGUUGGGGAUGGACUCGCGGCUUAUCAGCUUGUUGGUGGGGUAGUGGCUUACCAAGGCUUUGACGGGUAGCCGGCCUGAGAGGGUGACCGGCCACAUUGGGACUGAGAUACGGCCCAGACUCAUACGGGAGGCAGCAGUGGGGAAUAUUGCACAAUGGGCGGAAGCCUGAUGCAGCAACGCCGCGUGCGGGAUGACGGCCUUCGGGUUGUAAACCGCUUUCGCCUGUGACGAAGCGUGAGUGACGGUAAUGGGUAAAGAAGCACCGGCUAACUACGUG
RNAcentral lists this ribosomal RNA (468 nucleotides) under uncultured bacterium. RNAcentral's name for it is "partial 16S ribosomal RNA". It matches the Rfam family "Bacterial small subunit ribosomal RNA", at positions 28 to 507 of the family's 1533-position model. The record is from RNAcentral.